RNAcentral lists this ribosomal RNA (835 nucleotides) under Bacillus sp. (in: firmicutes). RNAcentral describes it as "bacterial SSU rRNA". It matches the Rfam family "Bacterial small subunit ribosomal RNA", at positions 65 to 877 of the family's 1533-position model. The record is from RNAcentral. Lineage: Bacteria; Bacillati; Bacillota; Bacilli; Caryophanales; Bacillaceae.
AGCGGAGAUUUGAAAAAGCUUGCUUUUCAAAUCUUAGCGGCGGACGGGUGAGUAACACGUGGGCAACCUGCCCUUGAGACGGGGAUAACUCCGGGAAACCGGAGCUAAUACCGGAUAACACAUAUCUUCGCAUGAGGAUAUGUUAGAAGGUGGCUUUUAGCUACCACUCAAGGAUGGGCCCGCGGCGCAUUAGCUAGUUGGUGAGGUAACGGCUCACCAAGGCGACGAUGCGUAGCCGACCUGAGAGGGUGAUCGGCCACACUGGGACUGAGACACGGCCCAGACUCCUACGGGAGGCAGCAGUAGGGAAUCUUCCGCAAUGGACGAAAGUCUGACGGAGCAACGCCGCGUGAGUGAUGAAGGUUUUCGGAUCGUAAAGCUCUGUUGUUAGGGAAGAACAAGUACCUGUUAAAUAAGCAGGUACCUUGACGGUACCUAACCAGAAAGCCACGGCUAACUACGUGCCAGCAGCCGCGGUAAUACGUAGGUGGCAAGCGUUGUCCGGAAUUAUUGGGCGUAAAGCGCGCGCAGGCGGUUCCUUAAGUCUGAUGUGAAAGCCCACGGCUCAACCGUGGAGGGUCAUUGGAAACUGGGGAACUUGAGUGCAGAAGAGGAGAGCGGAAUUCCACGUGUAGCGGUGAAAUGCGUAGAGAUGUGGAGGAACACCAGUGGCGAAAGCGGCUCUCUGGUCUGUAACUGACGCUGAGCGCGAAAGCGUGGGGAGCGAACAGGAUUAGAUACCCUGGGUAGUCCACGCCGUAAACGAUGAGUGCUAAGUGUUAGAGGGUUUCCGCCCUUUAGUGCUGCAGCAAACGCAUUAAGCACUCCGCUGGGG